AUACGGAGGAUCCGAGCGUUAUCCGGAUUUAUUGGGUUUAAAGGGUGCGCAGGCGGCCAUUUAAGUCAGCGGUUAAAUCGUGGGGCUCAACCCCAUUCUGCCGUUGAUACUGGGUGGCUUGAUUGCGGUCGAGGUUGGCGGAAUUCGUUGUGUAGCGGUGAAAUGCAUAGAUAUGACGAAGAACACCGAUUGCGUAGGCAGCUGACCAGACCGCAAAUGACGCUCAUGCACGAAAGUGCUGGGAUCGAACAGGAUUAGAUACCGUGGUAUUCCGCACAGUAAACGAUGAAUACUUGUUUUCGGCGAUAUAAUGUCGGAGGCAAAGCGAAAGCGAUAAGUAUUCCACCUGGGGAGUACGCCGGCAACGGUGAAACUCAAAUGAAUUGACGGGG
RNAcentral lists this ribosomal RNA (392 nucleotides) under uncultured bacterium. Its description in RNAcentral is "partial 16S ribosomal RNA". It matches the Rfam family "Bacterial small subunit ribosomal RNA", at positions 523 to 918 of the family's 1533-position model. The record is from RNAcentral.